CUUGAGAAACCUAAAAGUUCGAAAAGCGAGAUUCAAUGUCAGUAUGUAUUGUAUUCACGUGAGUAGGGAUGUAUGCACUUUUUCAUGUUAUUUUAUUGCAAUACUAUUACCGGCGUGCACUUCUCACUUAGUAGGACGUCCCGACCCGUUGAGUCUUAACCUACGGCUCAGACUUUAAUAUUCAUUUAUUAAAGACCUCUGAUAUUAAAGACCUCUGAUGUUCACCUGGUUAAAGUACUCGACGGGGUGUCCAGUCGCAUUUUCGAAUGCGCCCAUGCGCCCGGCCAGUCGCAAGUUUAUUGAUGUACCGUAUUUAAUAGACUUUGUGCUAUUUAUAUGGACUGUGCUUUAGGGCCGACUUACUUCGCCUGUCUGGGACGCUUAGGCUUUGGGUACUCUCAAGACCCGUCUUGAAACACGGACCAAGGAGUCUAACAUGUACGCGAGUCAUUGGGUAUAUAUUUUUCAAACCUAAAGGCGUAAUGAAAGUAAAGGUUGAA
Molecule: ribosomal RNA, 500 nt
Filed under: Lytopylus abdominalis
Lineage: Eukaryota; Metazoa; Arthropoda; Insecta; Hymenoptera; Braconidae
Description: eukaryotic LSU rRNA
Rfam family: Eukaryotic large subunit ribosomal RNA
Source: RNAcentral